AGAGUUUGAUCAUGGCUCAGGACGAACGCUGGCGGCGUGCUUAACACAUGCAAGUCUAAGGAGAAAAUCCCUUCGGGGACAAGUACACUGGCGAACGGGUUAGUAACGCGUAGGGAACCUACCCUUAAGCCUGGGAUAACUCGCCGAAAGGCGGACUAAUACCGGAUAAUAUCCUAUCUCAUAAGAGACUAGGAUUAAAGGAGGCUUCGGCUUUCACUUUUGGAUGGGCCUGCGUCUGAUUAGCUUGUUGGUGAGGUAACGGCUCACCAAGGCGAUGAUCAGUAGCUGGUUUGAGAGGACGAUCAGCAACAUUGGGACUGAGAUACGGCCCAGACUCCUACGGGAGGCAGCAGUGGGGAAUUUUGCGCAAUGGGCGAAAGCUUGACGCAGCAACGCCGCGUGAUCGAAGAAGCUCUGCGGAGUGUAAAGAUCUGUCAUAGGGGAAGAAAAAUUUCGUUAUUAACACCAUCGGAACGUGACGGUACCCUAUAAGAAAGCCCCGGCUAACUUCGUGCCAGCAGCCGCGGGUAAUACGAGGGGGGCAAGCGUUGUCCGGAUUUAUUGGGCGUAAAGAGUUCGUAGGCGGGUUAGUAAGUCGAAAUUGAAAAUCCCACGGCUUAACCGUGGUUCCGGGUUUCGAUACUGCUAACCUUGAGUGAGGUAGAGGUAACCGGAAUUCCUG
This 682-nucleotide ribosomal RNA is filed under the name uncultured marine bacterium. Its description in RNAcentral is "bacterial SSU rRNA". It matches the Rfam family "Bacterial small subunit ribosomal RNA", at positions 8 to 672 of the family's 1533-position model. The record is from RNAcentral.